GGAGUUCACUAAAUACAAGGGUAAUUUUUGUGCUAACAGUGGGACGGAUCUUCGAAAGUCUGACGAAUCAAAGACCUUGCGGAACAGUGAUCCAUCAACAUCAGCUGGGCCUUCUAAUGACCUUGUGCCACCAAACUUUUGACUUUUAAAGAGUAUUUGGCAGAUAUUUCAUUUGCCACUGUUGAGACAAGGAAGCGUCAAGAUUGUUGUCUCCACGAAAAAGGGGAAGAAGAAUGAGACUGUCAAGUUGCUAAUGAAUUAGUUGAUGAUGUUGUGGAAGAGCAAUUAGAUUUGGAAGAAAUGAGACUAACAAAGACUCAAAAUGAAUAAUUGUGCACAGAAUCACAGCUUGGAGAAGAAUCACAUUCCACAACUUUGGUUUGAAUGUCAUCUAUUGAUUAUGCCACUUUAACACCACAUGCACUAGAGAACCUCCAAAAUUGUGAUGCUUUUGAGAUGAAUACUUCCCAAGGUGAAAGUUCUGAAGGGGCUACUUUUGUCCCAGAAAGUAUGGCAAAUGAGGUUAUUGAGCGAGAAGUG
Long non-coding RNA from Xenia sp. Carnegie-2017, 540 nucleotides. RefSeq lists it as uncharacterized. The transcript has 3 exons. Lineage: Eukaryota; Metazoa; Cnidaria; Anthozoa; Malacalcyonacea; Xeniidae. The record is from RefSeq and is a predicted model, not a curated record.